RNAcentral lists this long non-coding RNA (359 nucleotides) under Gossypium barbadense (sea-island cotton). RNAcentral's name for it is "long non-coding RNA (GBAR_LNC013091)". Lineage: Eukaryota; Viridiplantae; Streptophyta; Magnoliopsida; Malvales; Malvaceae. The record is from RNAcentral.
UAUUAUGGGGGAUGGACGGCACCUAAUAUAUACUUCUUGGGGUUUGCUGGGGUUGUGAAGUUUGGCAAUAUCCGUAUCGGUGGACUUUCCGGAAUUUACUAUGCACGUAAUUAUUGUUUAGGUUGGGUUUGAAGUUCUUUUACUUGUCUAUUUUGUGUUUAUUCUGGAGUUCUUUUAAUGAUGAUUGUUUAUUUACUGCAAGCGAGUGUCAAAUAUGUUAUAUUGAUUCGUAUUUAGGGUGGAGAGUUGAAGCUUUGAAACUGAAAUGAAUUAGCUAGGGAGCUUCAAAAUUUUAGGGGCUAGUCCCCUGUGAACCCCUUUGGCUCAAAUGUUUUUGCGUGUAGGCUGCAUCGGAUUGU